GUCUUUCGAGAAAAAUGGCCACGUCCAUCGAUGGCCGCUUAGUAGGUGGCGAGUGUACGCGUCACUAAGCACGAUAUCCCUCGGGUGUCUGUUACAUAUCUACACAUAUUAUUGUUGGGUAGAGAACAUAGAAUUAAUUAUCAGUUUAGUUAUAGUCUACUUUCCCUGGGUACAGUUGUUAUUGCAACAUGAACUGCGUACGUACCAGGCAAGAGAGAGGAGUAAGAGUGCAUGCCUUCUACGUAGUGUACGGUCUCAUUAAGUACGGGAAAUAAAAGAGAAACCGUUAAAGUAAGUAAGUAUAUAAAAUUUGACGUUGAAGUAAAAACUUUGAAAAAUAUAUAAACUUGAGGACUACGGUUCUGGAAGUCUUGUUCUAAUUAGAACUUUUGUAAGUUUGUAGAAAAUCAAAGUUGCAAAGUUUACUCACUUUGUACAAAACACCUUAUGUACUUUAUUCAUAAACUCGCUUUGGUUUUAAUAGUAAAUGUUUACUCGUUUUAGAUAAAAUACUUCGCUCACUUUAAUAAAAAAAUAAAGUAAAUUUACAGUGAAUAAAGUUCAAUUUUAAAUAUAAAGUUUGCAAACUUUGUUUGAAAACUCAACUAACUUUAUGUAAACUUAUAUAAAGUAUUUACGAUUCACCUUAAUCAAAAACUCUAUAUAAACAUUACUCACUUUAGUCAAAAUGUUUUACUCAAUAAAGUUAAUUGACUUUAUCCAGAAAACUUAAGUUACUUUGGUUAAAAUACUUUAUCUAACAAGGUUACACACUUUAACUAAUACAAGCACUUCGACGAAUGAGGACUAACACUUUGACUAUAAAUCCUUUGUAUUAACGUUCACUUUAUACUUUGAUAUCUUAAAUUUAUACGUACGUAAUAAAAUUUCGCCACUUUAGACAUUAUAUUUUACUCACUUAGUCAAAAGCUUUACUUACCUUAGUACAAAAAUUUUGCCUACUUUAUACAAAAAAAUUACACACUUUAGACAGAAAAGUUUACUCACUUAAGUAUAAAAAAUUUGCUCACUUAACAAUAAAACUUAGUUGAUUUUUUCUACUCACUUUAUACGUAUACUUUGUUUAAAGUAACACUUUAUACAAAUUGAACAUUAAAUCUUUUUACACUUUGAUCAAUAAAAUUUUGUACGCUAAUAAAGUUAAAAAAUAUUUACUCGCUUUAGAUAAAAUACUUCACUCACUUUAACAAAAAAUAAAGUAAAUUUACAGUGAAUAAAGUUCAAUUUUAAAUAUAAAGUUUGCAAACUUUGAUUGAAAACUCAACUAACUUUAUGUAAACUUAUAUAAAGUAUUUAUGUUUCACCUUAAUCAAAAACUCUAUAUAAAACAUUACUCACUUUAGUCAAAAUGCUUUACUCAAUAAAGUUAAUUGACUUUAUCCAGAAAACUUAAGUUACUUUGGUUAAAAUACUUUAUCUAACAAGGUUACACACUUUAACCAAUACAAGCACUUCGACGAAUGAGGACUAACACUUUGACUAUAAAUCCUUUAUAUCAACGUUCACUUUAUACUUUGAUAUUUUAAAUUUAUUCGUACGUACUAAAAUUUCGCCACUUUAGACAUUAUAUUUUACUCACUGAGUCAAAAGCUUUACUUACCUUAGUACAAAAAUUUUGUCUACUUUAUACAAAAAAAUUACACACUUUAGACAGAAAAGUUUACUCACUUAAGGAUAAAAAAUUUACUCACUUUAUACGAAAAGUUAUACUCACUUUAUACAAAAAGUUAAAAUCACUUUAUACAAAAAUUUUCAGGCGAUUUAAUUUCGAUCAAGCUUACAUAGGUAUUAACUAGAACAAGACUUCGAGAAGAACAAUCCUUAAGUUUAUAUAUUUUUUUAAGUUUUAUCCUCAACAAUAAUUUUUCUAUAGGUACUAGGUUUUAAAGUGUUACUUUAAUUUACUUUCAUAAAACUACCUCUCUCUCCCUUAUAAAUUGAACGUACGUUGACCAGAACAGCAUGUAAAAAAGAGAGAAGACUGUUUUCGACUGUUCACGUACGUUUACAAGUGUACAUAAGGACACAUAAGAUAGGUACAGAGAAUAUGUUGUUUUCCCCCGUGCUUAGAGGUUUUGUCGUCGUUACCACCUACAACCUGGCCAUCCAUGGCCAGGGCCAUUUUUUUGAAUCAGC
Molecule: ribosomal RNA, 2157 nt
Filed under: Triticum aestivum (bread wheat)
Lineage: Eukaryota; Viridiplantae; Streptophyta; Magnoliopsida; Poales; Poaceae
Description: partial small subunit ribosomal RNA
Source: RNAcentral